AUACGGAGGAUCCGAGCGUUAUCCGGAUUUAUUGGGUUUAAAGGGUGCGCAGGCGGCCAUUUAAGUCAGCGGUUAAAUCGUGGGGCUCCACCCCAUUCUGCCGUUGAUACUGGGUGGCUUGAUUGCGGUCGAGGUUGGCGGAAUUCGUUGUGUAGCGGUGAAAUGCAUAGAUAUGACGAAGAACACCGAUUGCGUAGGCAGCUGACCAGACCGCAAAUGACGCUCAUGCACGAAAGUGCGGGGAUCGAACAGGAUUAGAUACCCUGGUAGUCCGCACAGUAAACGAUGAAUACUUGUUUUCGGCGAUAUAAUGUCGGAGGCAAAGCGAAAGCGAUAAGUAUUCCACCUGGGGAGUACGCCGGCAACGGUGAAACUCAAAGGAAUUGACGGG
This 391-nucleotide ribosomal RNA is filed under the name uncultured bacterium. RNAcentral describes it as "partial 16S ribosomal RNA". It matches the Rfam family "Bacterial small subunit ribosomal RNA", at positions 523 to 917 of the family's 1533-position model. The record is from RNAcentral.